UUUACCGUGAAAAAAUUAGAGUGUUCAAAGCAGGCAGAUCCAAUUUUCUGCCACCGAAUACAUUAGCAUGGGAUAAUGGAAUAGGACCCUGUCCUCCUAUUUUCAGUUGGUUUUGGCAGCGCGAGGACUAGGGUAAUGAUUAAUAGGGAUAGUUGGGGGCAUUAAUAUUUAAUUGUCAGAGGUGAAAUUCUUGGAUUUAUGAAAGAUUAACUUCUGCGAAAGCAUCUGCCAAGGAUGUUUUCAUUAAUCAAGAACGAAAGUUAGGGGAUCGAAGACGAUCAGAUACCGUCGUAGUCUUAACCAUAAACGAUGCCGACCAGCGAUUAGGAGACGUUGAAUACAAAACACCACCAUCGGUUGCGGUCGUCCUUGGCGUCUCGGUUUCGGCCGGGGCGCGGGGACGGUUUAGCCCGGUGGCACCGGUGAAUGACUCCCCUAGCAGCUUGUGAGAAA
RNAcentral lists this ribosomal RNA (453 nucleotides) under Acanthamoeba sp. Ac_E7a. RNAcentral's name for it is "SSU rRNA". It matches the Rfam family "Eukaryotic small subunit ribosomal RNA", at positions 751 to 1097 of the family's 1831-position model. The record is from RNAcentral. Lineage: Eukaryota; Discosea; Longamoebia; Acanthamoebidae.